This 1996-nucleotide ribosomal RNA is filed under the name oral metagenome. RNAcentral's name for it is "bacterial LSU rRNA". It matches the Rfam family "Bacterial large subunit ribosomal RNA", at positions 1 to 2005 of the family's 2925-position model. The record is from RNAcentral.
AAAAGUAAAUAAGGGCGAAUGGUGGAUGCCUAGGCUCCUAGAGGCGAAGAAGGACGUGACAAGCUGCGAAAAGCUACGGGGAAGUGCAAAUAACUAAUAAUCCGUAGAUAUCCGAAUGGGACAACCCAUCUUAUCAUUAGAUAAGAUAUCUGUUAUUUAUAUAACGGAGGCAAACCCGGCGAACUGAAACAUCUUAGUAGCCGGAGGAAAAUAAAACAAAAGUGAUUCCCAAAGUAGUGGCGAGCGAAAUGGGAUUAGCCCAAACCGUAAUUGUUUCGGCAAUUGCGGGGUAAUAGGACUACAAUAAUUAUUUAUAUAAAUUAAUUGGAAUACUUCUGGGAAGGGUAACCAAAGAUAGUGAAAGUCUAGUACAAGUAGUAUUUAUAUAAUUAAAGUAGUAUCCUGAGUAGCGCGGGACACGAGAAACCCUGUGUGAAUUUGCCAGGACCAUCUGGUAAGGCUAAAUACUCCUAGGAGACCGAUAGUGAACAAGUACCGUGAGGGAAAGGUGAAAAGUACCCCGAGCAGGGGAGUGAAAUAGAACCUGAAACCGUUCGCUUACAAGCGGUUGGAGCUAUUGAUUUAUUGAUAGUGACAGCGUGCCUUUUGCAUAAUGAGCCUACGAGUUAGUCGUCUCUAGCGAGGAUAAUGAUUUAAGAUCAGGAUUCGAAGCGAAAGCGAGUCUUAAUAGGGCUAUAUAGUUAGAGGCGCUAGACGCGAAACCUGCGUGAUCUACCCAUGGCCAGGGUGAAGUCUCGGUAACACGAGAUGGAGGCCCGAACCAGUUGACGUUGAAAAGUCUUUGGAUGAGCUGUGGGUAGGGGUGAAAGGCCAAUCAAACUGGGAAAUAGCUCGUACUCCCCGAAAUGCAUUUAGGUGCAGCCUUGAGAAUAAUUGUUACAGAGGUAGAGCUACUGAUAGGGCUAGGGGGCUUCACCGCCUACCACCCCCUGACAAACUCCGAAUGCUGUAACAUUUUACUCAGGAGUGAGGGCAUGGGUGCUAAGGUCCAUGUCCGAGAGGGAAAGAACCCGGACCAUCAGCUAAGGUCCCCAAAUAUACACUAAGUUGACCAAACGUUGUGCGACUGCAUAGACAGCUAGGAUGUUGGCUUGGAAGCAGCCAUUCAUUUAAAGAGUGCGUAACAGCUCACUAGUCGAGCGGUUGUGCGUGGAUGAUACUCGGGCAUAAGUGUAUUACCGAAGCUAUGGAAUUGAGGUAACUCAAUUGGUAGGGGAGCAUUCCAUUAGCGACGAAUCAAUAAUGUGAAUUAUUGUGGAGCGAAUGGAAAAGCAAAUGUAGGCAUAAGUAACGAUAAAGCGGGUGAGAAACCCGCUCACCGAUAGACUAAGGUUUCCGCGGCUAUGCUAAUCAGCCGUGGGUAAGUCGGGACCUAAGGCGAACCCAAAAGGGGUAGUCGAUGGCAAAUCGGUUAAUAUUCCGAUACCUAUUAUAACUGCGAUGGGGUGACGAAGUAGUGACAUGUUCGCGUACAGACGGAAUAGUACGUUAAAGGGUGUAGAUAAUGAGAUUGUUAAUAGCGAUUUUUUUCGAACCUGAAAGUACCAAGAUCCUUCGGGAGAUUGGAUAGUAACAGUAAUCAGACUUCCUAGAAAAACCUCUAAGCAUAGGUUAUAGUGGCCCGUACCACAAACCGACACAGGUAGUCAAGGAGAGAAUCCUGAGGUGCUCGAGUGAGUCGUGGCUAAGGAACUAGGCAAAAUUACCCCGUAACUUCGGGAUAAGGGGUCCCUAUUCAAUUAGGGCGCAGAGAAAUGGCCCAGGCGACUGUUUAUCAAAAACACAUGGCUUUGCUAAAUUGAAAGAUGAUGUAUAAGGCCUGACACCUGCCCGGUGCCGGAAGGUUAAGAGGGGGUGUUAUCUGUAAGGAGAAGCACUGAAUUGAAGCCCCGGUAAACGGCGGCCGUAACUAUAACGGUCCUAAGGUAGCGAAAUUCCUUGUCGGGUAAGUUCCGACCUGCACGAAUGGUGUAAC